This 438-nucleotide ribosomal RNA is filed under the name uncultured bacterium. RNAcentral describes it as "bacterial SSU rRNA". It matches the Rfam family "Bacterial small subunit ribosomal RNA", at positions 958 to 1397 of the family's 1533-position model. The record is from RNAcentral.
AACGCGAAGAACCUUACCCAGGCUCGAAAUGUAACGGCUAGUACCAGAGAUGGUAUGUUCCGCAAGGACUGUUAUAUAGGUGCUGCAUGGCUGUCGUCAGCUCGUGCCGUGAGGUGUUUGGUUAAGUCCAGCAACGAGCGCAACCCUUAUCAUUAGUUGCCAACAUUUAAGGUGGGGACUCUAAUGAGACUGCCUGGGUUAACCAGGAGGAAGGUGAGGAUGACGUCAAGUCCGCAUGGCCUUUAUGUCUGGGGCUACACACGUGCUACAAUGGUCGGUACAGAAGGCAGCAAGACCGCAAGGUGGAGCAAAUCCGUAAAGCCGAUCUCAGUUCAGAUUGUAGUCUGCAACUCGACUACAUGAAGUUGGAAUUGCUAGUAAUGACGUAUCAGCAACGACGUCGUGAAUACGUUCCCGGGCCUUGUACACACCGGCUAC